AGCGAACGCUGGCGGCAGGCCUAACACAUGCAAGUCGAACGGACCCUUCGGGGUUAGUGGCGGACGGGUGAGUAACACGUGGGAACGUGCCUUUAGGUUCGGAAUAGCUCCUGGAAACGGGUGGUAAUGCCGAAUGUGCCCUUCGGGGGAAAGAUUUAUCGCCUUUAGAGCGGCCCGCGUCUGAUUAGCUAGUUGGUGGGGUAAUGGCUCACCAGGGCGACGAUCAGUAGCUGGUCUGAGAGGAUGACCAGCCACAUUGGGACUGAGACACGGCCCAAACUCCUACGGGAGGCAGCAGUGGGGAAUCUUGCGCAAUGGGCGAAAGCCUGACGCAGCCAUGCCGCGUGGAUGAUGAAGGUCUUAGGAUUGUAAAAUCCUUUCACCGGUGAAGAUAAUGACUGUAGCCGGAGAAGAAGCCCCGGCUAACUUCGUGCCAGCAGCCGCCGUAA
This 449-nucleotide ribosomal RNA is filed under the name uncultured bacterium. Its description in RNAcentral is "partial 16S ribosomal RNA". It matches the Rfam family "Bacterial small subunit ribosomal RNA", at positions 29 to 523 of the family's 1533-position model. The record is from RNAcentral.